UAGGAGUCCAGGGGUCAGGGCAGAGGCGCAGGUGGUGCGACGCCACGGAGUUGGUCCCCAUGGCCGUGAGCCAGCCCCAGCGGCACAGCCGCCCUGUCCCCAGCGGCAUCUAGGUGAUGGCCAACUCCAGGCCGCUCUCCAGCUGCUUGGCCUGGCACCUCAGCUCUGCCAGCUCCCGGAAGCAACAGGCCACCAAGCGGCCCCGGGCUCCCGUGGCAGUGAGCCCUCUACUCUGCUCUCAAAAACUGAUGCCGCCAAGGAGCCCGCCAUGGCCAGCCCUGCUCAAAGCCAGGGCCAGCCCCGGGAGCCAAGCCGCCAGGCAGCCUUCCUCCAGGGAGGGUCUGGAGGCUGAGGGGGGGCGGCCUGCGGGUGACCAAGGAGAUAGCCAUGCAGCGCCACGUGGGGGACCUCCGGCUGCUGGGGAGUCCCCGGCCACACCCAGUUCCCCAGGCCUGGCCUGGCAGGAUGGUAGCUGCCUCUAAGAGGGGAAACCCGAGUAAGAAAAGCGGGACCCCAGCCGCAAAGAUGGUGCCCAGGAGGAGGACAAGACCAAGGACAAGGGCUGAGGGCAGCCCGGGGAGAUGCCCGGUGUGGACAAGAAGGGCCUGCAGGCCAGCAGCCCCUGCCGCAAGGCAGAGCGGGGGAAGCGACCAGUAAGAAGCCAUUUUCGGCCACCGAAGUCCAUUUGCUGCCCCAACCCUCCCAGACAGGAAGCACACGAAGGCCCCUGCAGGGAAGCUGGUGGAGUGGAAGGCCUGCUCGCUAGACCCCUCCCAGGACGCCCCAAGCUGAAGAAGCGGGUCUUGAGCCACCCUGAUCUCUUCGGAGACCAGAGUGAGGACGAGGCCCCGGAAUCUGUGGCGCCGAGGAUGUGGGCCCCUGCCCUCCCAGCCUCAGCUGGGACUUAGACUCGGUCUCCAGCCUGGGCUUCGGGGAGGCUCAGAAAUCGCCCAAGCGGCUCAAGGACUCCCCGCCCCACUCCCCGGCCCAUCCUACUCCUCCUCCUUCUCCUCCAGCGCGGGCAGGAUGUGGACUACUCAGCCCUAGAAAAAGAGGUGGACUUCACUCCGACCCCCUGGAGGCGUGCCUGUGGAUCUUCGACGAGUCCACUAGCGUCAACACGGAGGACAAAGGUCGACUGGCCUUCAGCCCCCCAAGGAAGAGACCUUCGGGUCUGACCACUCUGUUCAGAAGAGGAUGAUAUCUUUCCAAGCAAGGCCAGGAGGCGGAGCCCUAGAGGAGGAGUCCCGCGGUGCCCCGCCCACCGGCGCAGGAGUUAGUUGGCUACCUGCCGGCCCAGCACGCGCAGAGGAAGUAGGUGAGCUGGCUGCAGGCCGCCCCCAGGCUAGCGGAGAGCCGUCCUCGCUCCAAGAGGAUCGCCCACGUCCCCAAACCCGCUUGGCUGCAGCCCCUACAGAAAACCCUCGUGGCCAGCUGCAGCCAGACCCCCAGUGAGGCCCCAAGCCCCUCAGCCAGCUGCUUGAGACCCGCAGGUGGUGAGGGAUGGCGUCCAAGACCACCACCAUCAUCACCCGUAAGCGACUCGCCCACAGUCCAUCCUUACAGAGUGUAAAGAGACCCAUUAUCCCCUAAGAGUUUAGGGGCAGUCACCACCGUCAUCCGCCAACGCCAUCUCAACCUGUUCAUCCAGAAGUGUUCCGUUCUGCGCCACCAGGAGGCUAUGGAGAAGGCGCUGAAAGAGGAAACGAUGACCUGAGACCGGCAACCCCGGAGAAAACCUCUACCUGAACUGCCACGAACACCCUCCCAGAGCUCAGCCGCCUGGGAAUCCCCGAGGCCACAGGAUGUGUCCCGGGAGGAGGAGUUGGUGGGCAGGCUGGCCGCCGGGACCAGCUUCUCGUGCAGCUACUGGAGCAGCCCCCGGUGAGGAACCUGAACCAGGCCGCCCUGUGCAGCCCCUUGAGGAGCUCCUGCUAACCCAGGCCCAGCUCAAGAACGGCUCCCCGUCCCACACCCACCGCUCCGUCUUCUUCACGGCCAAGGAGAAGAAGCCCAAGGACUCCUCCUGCAGGACCUGCUGUCCCGCGGCACCGAGUCCCACGUGUCCUCGUCGAGCUCUAUGUCCGCAACGAGGAGUUGCUGCCACUGGGGGCGGCUGGGAGACCCGGGGUUGCGCGGCGCCAUCAGGUCGCUGAGCUCACCUGCCGGCGGAAGGAGCGCCUGGAGGGCUUCGUGAGGACGUUUGAGAAAGCUCUGGGGGACGCCUCCCCACUGGGACCCAUGCCCUGGACUGUUGGGCGCCCUGCACCACGCACGGCCUGGAGCUGGCCCGGUAACGCGGCCACAGGAACGUGGUGCGCGACGCCUUCGUCAAGACCGACGGCUUUCUUGCCGACAUUAGCGUCAGCUGCAGGCAGUCCUGCUGAACGUGUUCCGCUUGGCACCAACACCAUCGUCACCCGCACCGCCUGGAGAGCGGCCUGUGACCUCUUAGGGUAUCCACAGCACGGAGGUGGACGAGUCCGCGCUCUCCCCAGCGCCUGGGCCUCCCCUAUAAGUGCUCUCUGCGGAGCCUCACGGCCGACCACGUGGGACAUCUCACCCAGAGACGCAUGUACAGCACAGCUCCCGCGGGGGCGCGGCGCCUGCGUGCAUCCGGCUAUCUGGAAGGUCCGAGAAGAC
Molecule: long non-coding RNA, 2643 nt
Filed under: Homo sapiens (human)
Lineage: Eukaryota; Metazoa; Chordata; Mammalia; Primates; Hominidae
Description: non-protein coding lnc-LANCL2-5:1
Source: RNAcentral